This 695-nucleotide ribosomal RNA is filed under the name uncultured bacterium. RNAcentral's name for it is "bacterial SSU rRNA". It matches the Rfam family "Bacterial small subunit ribosomal RNA", at positions 8 to 749 of the family's 1533-position model. The record is from RNAcentral. RNAcentral also lists the same sequence under 1 other name.
AGAGUUUGAUCCUGGCUCAGAGCGAACGCUGGCGGCAUGCCUAACACAUGCAAGUCGCGCGGUCAGCAAUGGCAGCGGCGGACGGGUGCGUAACGCGUAGGAACGUGUCUUGAGGUGGGGGACAACCCUGGGAAACUGGGGCUAAUACCGCAUAUGGGCUGAGGCCCAAAGCCGUGAGGCGCCUUUGGAGCGGCCUGCGUCCGAUUAGCUUGUUGGUGGGGUAAUGGCCUACCAAGGCUCCGAUCGGUAGCUGGUCUGGGAGGACGAUCAGCCACACUGGGACUGAGACACGGCCCAGACUCCUACGGGAGGCAGCAGUGGGGAAUAUUGGACAAUGGGCGCAAGCCUGAUCCAGCAAUGCCGCGUGGGUGAAGAAGGUCUUCGGAUCGUAAAGCCCUUUCGACAGGGACGAUGAUGACGGUACCUGUAGAAGAAGCCCCGGCUAACUUCGUGCCAGCAGCCGCGGUAAUACGAAGGGGGCUAGCGUUGCUCGGAAUUACUGGGCGUAAAGGGCGCGUAGGCGGCUUAGUCAGUCAGGCGUGAAAUUCCUGGGCUUAACCUGGGGGCUGCGUUUGAGACGGCUAUGCUAGAGGGUAGGAGAGGGUCGUGGAAUUCCCAGUGUAGAGGUGAAAUUCGUAGAUAUUGGGAAGAACACCGGUGGCGAAGGCGGCGACCUGGCCUAUUACUGACGCUGA